RNAcentral lists this ribosomal RNA (329 nucleotides) under uncultured eukaryote. Its description in RNAcentral is "partial 18S ribosomal RNA". It matches the Rfam family "Eukaryotic small subunit ribosomal RNA", at positions 1470 to 1796 of the family's 1831-position model. The record is from RNAcentral.
CCCUUAGAUGUUCUGGGCCGCACGCGCGCUACACUGACGAUGGCAACGAGUUUUUCCUUCGCCGAAAGGUGUGGGUAAUCUUUUGAAACAUCGUCGUGCUGGGGAUAGAUCAUUGCAAUUUUUGAUCUUGAACGAGGAAUUCCUAGUAAGCGCGAGUCAUCAGCUCGCGUUGAUUACGUCCCUGCCCUUUGUACACACCGCCCGUCGCUACUACCGAUUGAAUGGUUUAGUGAGGACUCCUGAUUGGCGCCGCCACCCCGGCAACGGAGCAGCGGACUGCCGAAAAGUUGUUCAAACUUGAUCAUUUAGAGGAAGUAAAAGUCGUAACA